UUGGUUUUAGCAACACAUAUACUAAAAUUAGAAUGAUACAGAGAAGAUUAGCAUGGCUCCUGCCCAAGGAUGACAUGCAAAUUCAUGAAACAUUCCAUAUUUUU
This is a small nuclear RNA of Suncus etruscus (white-toothed pygmy shrew), 104 nucleotides long. The record is from RefSeq and is a predicted model, not a curated record. Lineage: Eukaryota; Metazoa; Chordata; Mammalia; Eulipotyphla; Soricidae.